Molecule: ribosomal RNA, 439 nt
Filed under: uncultured bacterium
Lineage: Bacteria
Description: partial 16S ribosomal RNA
Rfam family: Bacterial small subunit ribosomal RNA
Source: RNAcentral
CCUACGGGGGGCAGCAGUGGGGAAUAUUGCACAAUUGGCGAAAGCCUGAUGCAGCAACGCCGCGUGAGCGAUGAAGGCCUUCGGGUCGUAAAGCUCUGUCCUCAAGGAAGAUAAUGACGGUACCUGGGGAGGAAGCUCCGGCUAACUACGUGCCAGCAGCCGCGGUAAUACGUAGGGAGCGAGCGUUGUCCGGAAUUACUGGGUGUAAAGGGAGCGUAGGCGGGGAUGCAAGUUGGGUGUCAAAACUACCGGCUCAACUGGUAGUCGCACUCAAAACUGCAGCUCUUGAGUGAAGUAGAGGCAGGCGGAAUUCCUAGUGUAGCGGUGAAAUGCGUAGAUAUUAGGAGGAACACCAGUGGCGAAGGCGGCCUGCUGGGCUUUUACUGACGCUGAGGCUCGAAAGUGUGGGGAGCAAACAGGAUUAGAUACCCUUGUAGUC